Molecule: long non-coding RNA, 1106 nt
Filed under: Bos mutus (wild yak)
Lineage: Eukaryota; Metazoa; Chordata; Mammalia; Artiodactyla; Bovidae
Description: lncRNA (ENSBMUG00000009520.1)
Source: RNAcentral
GGACUCCCUCCUGGAGGGAGGUGCCCUGCGGGGUCUGCUCCCGAGACCCAGAAACGCUGAGCGGGAGCUGCAUGGCCCGCCCGCCCCCGCUAGUCUCAGAACAAGCGGGCCUCCCCGCCACAGGAUGGGCUGGCCCACGGCCACCGUCUCUGGCCGGGGCGGUCAGUGCGACUUGACCCGGCCCCCCAGCACAUCCAGCAGCCCCGUGGGGACCUGAGGAGGACAGCACAGGCAGAGCCACUGGCCUCGCUUCCGGAACGCACCAGGCGCCUGGGGGGCCUCAGGAGCACCCACACCCCACUGAGGGCUGCAGCCGUGUGCAUCUCUGUGAACAACAGAACCUCGGGAAAGGGGUCAGAAUCCCCACAGGGGAGUUACCGCUGCUUGAAGAUCCUGCUAGACUUUGAGAACACAGGAAAUACUGGGGACAACGUGUGAUCCUCGAGAUGAAAGUGACUUCAGAGGACAGACGGCCGACAAGCCCCCCUGCUAAGGCCAGCUCCUCCGGGGGGAGAGGCAGGAGGGCGUCCAGGAGACCCCACUGCACCCCCGACCUGCUCACUAGAUCAGCCCCACAGCUGCGGCCACAGGAGGUGGGGGCCGCGCAGAGGGGCCACCCCAGCGAGCCAUCCUGGUCUGCAGCGGCCACGCGGGAGCAGGGCUGCCCCCCCACUCGCCCCACCCAGCGGCGGGAGCGGAGGCACCGAGUCUCUCCUGGAAGCGAGGCCGCCCAGUCACCUUUCAGCCUCCAGCCACCCUCAGGGAGCCGUGGGGUGGCGAGGGUCUGCCCAGUGGCAGGGCUGCCCUUCCUGACAGUUUGGAUCCCAGGCAAUGGGGUGCUGGCCGAGGCCCCACAAAGCUCCCCAAGAGAAAGGGUGCACAGCUUAGGCUGGUCCUGGGCCCAGAACACAGCAGUUGUCAUCCUACGCCUGUUCAUCAGCCAGGAGUCCGCUGCGUGUGCUGGGCUGAGGCUGCAUUCAGACCCAGGGGCAGUAAAAAUAAAUAAGGAGAAAUUUAGGGUCUGGACGGAAGGAAGGAGGUUCAGGUGAGACGGACCCAGCAUAACCCUUGGUCGGCACUCGAAAUCUCAUGAAAGAGCAUUGACG